GUGACACUUACGAGAAGCCUUUGCGGCCCCGCAAGGGGUACCGGCCGCGACUAUAAAUGAAAGGCAAGCCGGCAUUAAAUCGCAAGUCAGCUCAGCUGGCUACACUUUCGAAUUGCGGGAAACCCCUAAAGCUGACCUCUACCAACCGUUCAGGGAAACCUGGAUGGGGCCUGUGCUAACAUCACAGGGUACGGUAACAAUGAGGAGGAUAUAUGGGCAAUCCGCAGCCAAGUCCCUAAGGCUCUCGAGCUACGGGAAAGGUUCACAGACUAAGUGGAAGUGGGUUGGGGCGGGUUGUAAUCCGCCCUGGCUUAAGAUAUAGUCGGGCUGUCCGCGAGAGCAGACAGGAUGUCACAAAUUAACCGUUCCGUAGGUGAACCUGCGGAAGGAUCAUUA
This 396-nucleotide ribosomal RNA is filed under the name Dactylellina leptospora. RNAcentral describes it as "partial 18S small subunit ribosomal RNA". The stretch from base 53 to 346 matches the Rfam family "Group I catalytic intron". Rfam says of the family: Group I catalytic introns are large self-splicing ribozymes. Lineage: Eukaryota; Fungi; Ascomycota; Orbiliomycetes; Orbiliales; Orbiliaceae. The record is from RNAcentral.